Molecule: ribosomal RNA, 506 nt
Filed under: uncultured bacterium
Lineage: Bacteria
Description: partial 16S ribosomal RNA
Rfam family: Bacterial small subunit ribosomal RNA
Source: RNAcentral
GGACGAACGCUGGCGGCGUGCCUACUACAUGCAAGUAGAACGCACAGUUUAUACCGUAGCUUGCUACACCAUAGACUGUGAGUUGCGAACGGGUGAGUAACGCGUAGGUAACCUGCCUGGUAGCGGGGGAUAACUAUUGGAAACGAUAGCUAAUACCGCAUAAUAUUAAUUAUUGCAUGAUAAUUAAUUGAAAGGUGCAAUUGCACCACUACCAGAUGGACCUGCGUUGUAUUAGCUAGUAGGUGAGGUAACGGCUCACCUAGGCGACGAUACAUAGCCGACCUGAGAGGGUGAUCGGCCACACUGGGACUGAGACACGGCCCAGACUCCUACGGGAGGCAGCAGUAGGGAAUCUUCGGCAAUGGACGAAAGUCUGACCGAGCAACGCCGCGUGAGUGAAGAAGGUUUUCGGAUCGUAAAGCUCUGUUGUAAGAGAAGAACGGGUGUGAGAGUGGAAAGUUCACACUGUGACGGUAUCUUACCAGAAAGGGACGGCUAACUACGUG